UCACCGAGAAGCUAAAUAGCAUUAACCUUUUAAGUUAAAGAUUGAGAGCAUAAAUCUCUCCUCAGUGAU
RNAcentral lists this transfer RNA (69 nucleotides) under Mustela putorius (European polecat). RNAcentral describes it as "tRNA-Lys". It matches the Rfam family "tRNA". Rfam says of the family: Transfer RNA (tRNA) molecules are approximately 80 nucleotides in length. The record is from RNAcentral. Lineage: Eukaryota; Metazoa; Chordata; Mammalia; Carnivora; Mustelidae.